This 1816-nucleotide unclassified non-coding RNA is filed under the name Hevea brasiliensis (rubber tree). The record is from RNAcentral. Lineage: Eukaryota; Viridiplantae; Streptophyta; Magnoliopsida; Malpighiales; Euphorbiaceae.
GAUGCCAAUUGCUGGUGCUGCCCUUGUUACUAGAUUGCCAGCUUGAGAGUUAGCUUUCAUUAUUACAGGUGGAGUGUCUCUCCUUCUAGAAGCAUCAAUAAUCUCAUCACUAAAAAGCUGUUCACCUCUUAAAAGAUCAGCUAUCCUCGUGGGUGUUACAUUCUGAAUUUCGCCAAAAUUUCUAGGUGGUUCUAGGUGGUCAUAGCCUGCUAUAACUUUUUAAAAUUUAAUCUGGGGAUCUAACCCUUGAUCCUCCAAUAGGCUGAUAUUAUUCAAAUUUCCCCAAUGAGUCCACCUUACGCAUAUCAUCUGCAAUUUCUUUAGGAAGAAUUUUCCUUGAAACUUUGCUUCCACCGUGUGCAGGCCCAUGUGGCAGCAGGUAAGAACUCAAAGGAAUUGGAGAGUGAAUGACUUUCCCAACCUUUCUGUGUGAGUCUACUUUCCCUUGCCCUUCUGAAUUUUCUUAGAUAACCCUCUGUGUAUCAGCGUCAAUCAAAUAUCAUUUAGGGCAAUUUGGGAUACUGCACUUAUGUCCAUGCACCAGUGUUAGUGAACAAAAUGAUACAUAAAAGGAAUCCAAAAUAUGUAGAACAUAAUAUGUCACCAUUAACUCCAUUAAGGACAAGACUUUGCAUCAUGCUAUCUCCUUUAUUCCUGGAAAGUAUCAUUCAACCAAAUACAAAUACUGCUCAAAACAACACAUUAUGCCACCGAAACAUCACAAACGAUGAAUUCACAGAAUGCCAAAACGAAAAGUUUAGCAACUAUUUUAAGAUAUAAGGAAUCUAGCUAAAAGUACAACUACCAGGCUCAAGAAUUAUAAAAAUAAAUAAAUAAAGAGAGAGAGAGAGAGAGAGGAAAAAGAAUAAGAUUCGAAGUUAUAUCCCCCUUUUACUCAAUUUCGCAUCAACCAAGAAAAGAAUAAAACCAUCUCCUCUUUUCCCCUGCUUUUUGUUUCUUGAUACACAAUUACAUAAUCCACAAAAUAUUUAAAUGUUUAAGAAUUCAACUUAAACAAGAAACAUAAUGAAAAUACCAAUCACUAAUUUCCCAAACAUAGUCUGAAAACACCCUAAACAAAUAUCAAACUCAACAAAAGAAAUUGCAUAGAAGCAAAGAAACACACCUUAUGUUGGGUUGGGGGAAAACAUGGUGAAGGGCAUGUGAAGAAAAGAUCUCACAUACCUAACGCCAAGCUGAUUUAUAUACUAACUAUCUAACUACUCUUGGGCUACCCAAAAGCUUAAAAGCUUAAGUGUAUACAUUCCCAUGUACUAUUUCGAAUGGGAACAAUCAGAAAAAAAGUAAUAUAGAAUUUUCUUUAAUGGUUUAAGCACCACUGCUCCCAAAUCCCUCUCCUCUAGGCCUCUUACCUCCCUUUGUCACCGCCUGCAAACCAUUGAAAAAUCAUAAAUUCAUGAAAAAGAAAAAGGUUUAGUCAAUUAUACAACUAACGAAAUGGGUAAUCCAAUAAAAGAAAAAUUCCCAAUUUUAAUCUCUGUCAUUGUGAGAGAGAAAAGGGCAACUGAACAGUGCCGCCCAGAGUGAUGGUGACCUCGGGGCUGGACGUUCUACUGAGGGGGAUUAAAAAAAAUGUCAAAUGAAAGAGCAAAUUAACUAAAUUUCAUCCAACAAUGGACAUUGAAAAGUAGAAUCGAAGUCGAUUCAGUGCUACAUUCUAAAAAGAGAAGGGAAAGAAUGAGAAGAAAUAGAGAAGAUGACGCAGAAAAGGAAGAAAGGAACAGACUGUAAGCUAGAAAGAGCACUCGGCAGUGGUUUUUUUGGCUCCGUUGUUGCUUUGGGUUCGUCAGGCCAC